GCUGGGUUGAACGUAUAGCGAAGAAAUUUGUAGGGCGCCGAAUGGUGCGUGUCCCACUCAAUGUACAUAAUUCCCAUUGGCUUCUACUAGUCUUUAAUUUCGACAAGGAAGAGGUUCAGGUCCUCAACUCCCACCAAGCAUAUCGUGACGAAGAGUCGGAAAGAGACCCGGUGUUGUCCAUUCAGUCGUGCAUUAACGAAGCCGUGAACACUGGCUGGGUAACAACGUCUAAGCAGAUCAAUAUUGCCAAGUGGAAAACCGUAUGCUAUACUAACAUACCAC
Molecule: long non-coding RNA, 282 nt
Organism: Lolium rigidum
Lineage: Eukaryota; Viridiplantae; Streptophyta; Magnoliopsida; Poales; Poaceae
Exons: 3
Source: RefSeq, a predicted model, not a curated record